GGUAUCUCUUUUUGGAGCGACCCAGGAUGCAGUUGAGUAAGACUUGUGGGAACACUGGGAACCAGACACCAGAGUCAGGUUCCAGGAAAACACACUGUCCUGUACCCAGACUUUAGGUAACUGCCCAGACACACACAGGAGCACGCAGCGAAAGGCGCUAGACGCAACAGGGGGCGCACGAAGCUCCACCGACCGCGUCAGCACAGGUGGGUCAGCCCCAGGCUGGCACACGGUACCGACGGGGUUCACUCUGCCGACGGAACCAGACAGUGUCACAUUCCCCACGCCCGCUCCGGCUCCUCUUACCCAGCGCGCGGCAGCUCCCAAGGACCAGCGCGACUGCGGGCGCGGCCAGCAGGGCGACCAGCAGGGUGCAGCCGACGGCCAGCAUGGUUCCUUCUACGUGGGGCGGCGGGCGGCGGA
This 423-nucleotide long non-coding RNA is filed under the name Rattus norvegicus (Norway rat). RNAcentral describes it as "long non-coding RNA NONRATT015463". Lineage: Eukaryota; Metazoa; Chordata; Mammalia; Rodentia; Muridae. The record is from RNAcentral.